RNAcentral lists this non-coding RNA (47 nucleotides) under Prorocentrum micans. Lineage: Eukaryota; Dinophyceae; Prorocentrales; Prorocentraceae. The record is from RNAcentral.
CUGUUGUAGACGUGUUCUUGUUUAUGCUCGCCAUGCUUCCCAGUAUU